This 207-nucleotide long non-coding RNA is filed under the name Hordeum vulgare. RNAcentral describes it as "long non-coding RNA (HVUL_LNC017072)". The record is from RNAcentral. Lineage: Eukaryota; Viridiplantae; Streptophyta; Magnoliopsida; Poales; Poaceae.
AAAAAAAAACGGGGGGUAAAAAAAAAAAAAACCCGGUUUUAAACCCCCCCCCGGUUAAAAAAAAAAAAAAAACCCGGGGGGGGGGGUAAAAAAAAAAAAAAAAAAAAACCCGGGGGUAAAAAAAAAAAAAAAAAAAAAAAAAAAAAAACCCCGGGGGGGGGGUAAAAAAAAACCGGGGGGGGGGGGGGGGGUUAAAAAAAAAAAAAA